GAUGAACGCUGGCGGCGUGCCUAAUACAUGCAAGUCGAGCGAACAGACGAGGAGCUUGCUCCUCUGACGUUAGCGGCGGACGGGUGAGUAACACGUGGAUAACCUACCUAUAAGACUGGGAUAACUUCGGGAAACCGGAGCUAAUACCGGAUAAUAUAUUAAACCGCAUGGUUCAAUAGUGAAAGACGGUUUUGCUGUCACUUAUAGAUGGAUCCGCGCCGCAUUAGCUAGUUGGUAAGGUAACGGCUUACCAAGGCAACGAUGCGUAGCCGACCUGAGAGGGUGAUCGGCCACACUGGACCUGAGACACGGUCCAGACUCCUACGGGAGGCAGCAGUAGGGAAUCUUCCGCAAUGGGCGAAAGCCUGACGGAGCAACGCCGCGUGAGUGAUGAAGGUCUUCGGAUCGUAAAACUCUGUUAUUAGGGAAGAACAAAUGUGUAAGUAACUAUGCACGUCUUGACGGUACCUAAUCAGAAAGCCACGGCUAACUACGU
Molecule: ribosomal RNA, 496 nt
Filed under: uncultured bacterium
Lineage: Bacteria
Description: partial 16S ribosomal RNA
Rfam family: Bacterial small subunit ribosomal RNA
Source: RNAcentral